RNAcentral lists this ribosomal RNA (466 nucleotides) under uncultured bacterium. RNAcentral's name for it is "bacterial SSU rRNA". It matches the Rfam family "Bacterial small subunit ribosomal RNA", at positions 330 to 793 of the family's 1533-position model. The record is from RNAcentral.
GCCAGACUCCUACGGGCGGCAGCAGUGAGGAAUAUUGGUCAAUGGGCGAGAGCCUGAACCAGCCAAGUCGCGUGAAGGAUGAAGGAUCUAUGGUUUGUAAACUUCUUUUAUAUGGGAAUAAAGUGAGGAACGUGUUCCUUUUUGUAUGUACCAUAUGAAUAAGCAUCGGCUCACUCCGUGCCAGCCGCCGCGGUAAUACGGAGGAUGCGAGCGUUCUCCGGAUUUAUUGGGUUUAAAGGGUGCGUAGGUGGUUAAGUAAGUCAGCGGUGAAAGUUGGUGGCUCAACCAGAAAAUUGCCGGGGAAACUGGGUGACUUGAGGAGAGGUGAGGUAGGCGGAAUGCGUGGGGGAGCGGUGAAAUGCAGAGAUAUCACGAAGAACGCCGAUUGCGAAGGCAGCUUACGAAACUAUAACUGACACGGAAGCACGAAAGCGGGGGGAUCAAACAGGAGUAGAUACCCGGGUAC